Molecule: long non-coding RNA, 3906 nt
Organism: Anas platyrhynchos (mallard)
Lineage: Eukaryota; Metazoa; Chordata; Aves; Anseriformes; Anatidae
Source: RefSeq, a predicted model, not a curated record
UCCCUGAGCUGCCUCCUGUCUGGCUCACAGGACAGGAAAAAGAGAAAGACUGAAAAGCACGGGGAGCUGCACAGGGAGGGAAUUAGGAGCACCAAGAGGAGACAGCACAAGAGAGCUGGGGGAGGCAAUGGAGUACAGGGAAGACCUAGGAGAGCUGCAGCCGAGGCUAUGGCACCGACCUCACAAGAAACCUGGUUCCUCUGCUGUGCUCCUGCAGUAGCCCCGUCUCACCCCACACUCCUGGGGUCAGCUCCUAGGAGAGCCUGACGCCUGCUUCCUAUCUCCAGUUUGCUGGCUACCAAGGGCUCGGAUGGAGAGCAGCCAACUGGAACUCCUGAUGGACCAACACACCCACCUGGAGGUCCUCAGGUGGAGGACACCAAACCCUCCCAUGAGGAAGAUGGAAUAGAUAAAGCCCACCAGCUUGUUGUGCUGCUCCUGCCUGCCUCCUCCUUCCUCUGUUUUUUUUCUGUGCUUUGUUUGGAAAGUGGGUGCAAGCUCAUAGAGUGCUGGGGGUCCUCCUUCCUGCAGCUGUGGUGAGUGUCCCCAACUCCUCCCAGGUGGGGGCAGAUGUGGGUGCAGGCAGCAGUGUGUCUGUGUGCUCUUAGAGAUGUGGGCUGAGGUCGCCUGCAGUGGGCCUGAGCCAUCUCCUGUGAGAUGUCUGAGAGCUGGCAAGUCUUUCACACCCACAUGGGCCUGACAAGGAAACGAAGAGGCAAAUCCAAAACAUUGCAUCAUGAACAACUGUGUUAAAGCCCUUCCUAGAGUAAACCUACUGACUUCAACACAUGAACUUUCCCCGCAUGCCUUAUGAACGUCAGCUCAGCAGCUCGAGAGUUGAAAGAGUUUUUUGGGCAGGAGGCAAAACACGAGGUGGGAGAUCCCACUUGCGCUGCUGGGCACAGCAGAACAACGGAGACGUCAAGGUCCCUUCUCAGCGUAAGAGGGAUGUUACUGGGAAAUGGGCACUUGAGCGACAUUCACCCUCAACUCACCAACUUCUGCCUGGGUGACCCUGGCUUCCUACAGCAAUGGGGAGAAACUCUCCUGGUGCAGAUCAGCAGCAGAACAGAUCAACAGAGCUGAGAGCAGGGGGAGCACGCUGGUGUAUUUUGUUCAGUGCACCACGCUGCCUUUUCCCAUGGCAGGUUGUGGGGAUGAGAGACAGGUCAGCAGCUGGCAAGGGACCUAUAGAACCUGAAUUCAACAUGUAAUGCUUUGACUGGUAGGCAAAACCUUCUAAUGCUCAGCCUGGAGCUGGACUAUAGUAGCGUUGGUUUGCUUACCUGGAAUUGCCAGCAGUUCUUGCGCAGCUCCGUGAGCCAGUACAUGAAAUACGUGGUGGGUGAUGUCCUGUGCGGCCACGGGCAGAGCUGGAUGAAGCUGCUUGGAGUCCCACCUGCUGAGAAAUUCUGAUGUCACCAAGUCAGGUUUCAUUACAAUUCACUUAAAACCAGAUUAAUGAAAAAUACAUCAAGGCUUUGAACUGGGGAUGUAAAAACAUUGUGCUUUAAGCAUUUUUCAGAAUGAAUUAUGAGUGCUGUAGAACCUUAUGAGUCCUGCUUUCUAAUACCAUGCCCCUGUUACUCUGCACAGCCUGUGUGUGCCGGACAGGCACCAUGCUCUGUGAGGCACUGGGAUCCUUUUGGUCUUGGGUUGUUCAUAUGACAUAGUUAGAGGAGAGACAGCAAGGAGACCAAUUUUAUAACCAAGAGGUAAGCGUGAAAUACAGGAGCUAGGAUCUCCAUUUCAUUGCAGAAGGAAUUGCAAUUUAAUGUCAGGUAAAUUCAAGAUGACGUUUCAAUUCAGCUCAGCAAAUUCACUGUUUCGGUUCAUGUGGAACCAACCUGAAAUGAAAUCUCCUUCUGAGAUAAUUUCCUGUGGAAUUUAUUAGGAACUUCGUUUUCUUUUGAGAACUUCAUUUUCUUUCUCUUUUGAGAAUCAUUCAUAGUGAUGAACGAUUUCGAUGUAGCUCUAGUACCGUGGCCUGGGUGACAAAUUUUAUUACAAAUUUCCACUCUUUUUCCAUCAGAGGCGACAAGAGUAAUCUAGAUCCUAACAUAAGACUGAGAACUACCUAACUAUCUUUUGAUUUUGUUUUUUUUUGUUGUUGUUGUUUUUAAAUAGUUGAUAUUUACUGUAACAAAUGUAUUUUGGUGAGCAGAUAGCAUAGUGUGACUAUCUGUGCAUGGAUGAGGGCCUGAGAAGUGUAAUAUUUGUUCAAGUAGAAUCACACGUUUGUAAGAGAUAGCUCAUGGGGUGCACAUAUUAAAGGGUAUAUGUCAGAAACAGAGUCACAAAGGCACGAAAUAGACUGCAAGUAUACCCAGUCAAAUUAAGCAGGCUUUAAUAAAUGCUUUGGGAACUCCCUAGGUACAAAACAUGACUGUACAAGAAGAUUCAGGGUCAUAAAGACAUAGCAAAUUGUUUAUUUUAAAGUUUUCCAGUUCUGUCUUAAAGGAAACAAUUUACUUGAACUGGCUCUGACAACACACAACUUAGCACAUACUAAAACUUUGAAGCUAAUGCCUGGGAAUAUGCACAAAAACCAAACUGCAAGCCACCUGCCUGCCUCCUUCUUCUCAUUGUAUUUGACUUCAACCACUGUGGAUCUGGAGGCACGUUUGAUAAGACAGCCUGGUUCCCCUCUCAUGUAGCUGUGUAAGUAGAGUAAAUCUAGAUGAUCGUCUCUAUCUUUACACAACCACCACUCCCACAGACAGCGCUGAGCCUGUUUAAAGGCUUUACACCCACCAUUUCUGAGUAUUCUGCCUGUACCUGAGAGAAGCCUUUCAUCUCUCAUCCUUCUUGGCGGAAGUGGUUAGAAGACAUAACUCUCAAAGGCAGCGUACCUGCUUGGAUAACUGAUGAACAAAAGGAAAAUAGAGCAAUAAAUAGUCACAGAGAUGUGAAAUGCACCUGCCUACACAGAUAAGUCAAAAGCAAGAGUAUUGAAAAGCCAGCGAUGCAUGCUUAGACAGAGCUAAGCAAAGUGCAGGUCACCUUCUGUGAAGCCAAGUAAAUGUUGAUAGUCUUCAGGUACCUGACCUUGGGUGAGUCUGUGGGGAUCCAACAUCCUACAUGGUGUGGAGGGCACGUUAAGGACCCCAGAAUGGAAUCAGGACCACGGUGGCACUCGCUUCCUAAGAGGGAAGCAGUUAGAUGGUAUUUAAGUGAAAGCUGGGCUGGCAUAAUGUUUUAGGGGGACUAAACUGCAGACGGAUGCCUGGGUAUGUUCAGAGACCACCCACAGGAUCAGUGACUUCAGAUAUAUUUAACUUGGCAUUGAAAGCUAGGAAGUGACAGGUUCUGCUUCAAGUUGAAUUAAUUAGUUAAAGGCAAGGCAGCAAAUCAUCAGUAGUUUCAGGAGCAGACUCAAAUUUUUAUGUACUCAGAUUCUAAUCAAGUCCUGUUUUAGCUCUGAUUAACCAUCACGUUAUCUUAAUAUAGGUACAUCCCACAGUAUUUUAAACACAACCUUCAGAUCUUGCAGUGCUUAAUUAUGCUAGAGAAAAUCAAAUCCACUCUCCUUAGCACCACAUAGUGUUUACUUUUCUCAAGAGCCACAGACUGCCAGACUUUCAGGGGUCACAUGUGUUUUAAUGUUUAGGAGAAGAAUCCUUCACUGAAGAAUUGCGGCUUGCAUGCUGGCUAAGGGUACUUGCAAAGAGCAGGAUUCUGCCAUGGGAAGUUUUAAGAGCAGUAACACUGCAGUGCUGGUGCUGAUGUAACCAAUCAGUUCACCCAAUGCAACUCAUCUGCUCCUUGGAAUACAUAUCCCAUAUAAUGAUCAGAUUAUUUGGUAAGACACUGAUCAGAUUAUCUUGAAAAGCACAGGCAUUCAUGAGAGCCAGACACUGGCUGCCCAGCACAGAUGCAUCUUAUGAUAGCUACCCAAUUACACGA